RNAcentral lists this ribosomal RNA (486 nucleotides) under uncultured bacterium. Its description in RNAcentral is "partial 16S ribosomal RNA". It matches the Rfam family "Bacterial small subunit ribosomal RNA", at positions 30 to 507 of the family's 1533-position model. The record is from RNAcentral.
AUUGAACGCUGGCGGCAUGCCUUACACAUGCAAGUCGAACGGCAGCACGGGUGUUGGCACUUGGUGGCGCGUGGCGCACGGGUGUGUAAUCCAUCGGAAUAUGUCCUGGUGUGGGGGAUAGCCCGGCGAAAGCCGGUUUAAUACCGCAUACGAUCUACGGAUGAAAGCGGGGGACUCUCGGGCCACGCGCUAAAGUGAUGCUCGAUGGCUGAUUAGCUAGUUGGUGGGGUAAAGGCCUACCAAGGCGACGAUCAGUAGCUGGUCUGAGAGGACGAACAGCCACACUGGAACUGAGACACGGCCCAGACUCCUACGGGAGGCAGCAGUGGGGAAUUUUGGACAAUGGGCGAAAGCCUGAUCCAGCAAUGCCGCGUGUGUGAAGAAGGCCUUCGGGUUGUAAAGCACUUUUGUCCGGAAAGAAAGCCUUGGCCCUAAUACGGUCGUGGGAUGACGGUACCGGAAGAAUAAGCACCGGCUAACUACGUG